GCCAGACAAAGCGCCUGUAUGAUGGACAGUCCUCUCAGCAAGCCAUCAAGGCACACAGGAAGUUUUUAAAGGCACAAUCUAGGCCUUUGCAACCUCAGGCUCUGUUGCUGCAGCUGGAUCCACACAGGCCAACAUUUGUGUUAGCACCAACCCCCUUUAGGAGCCCACCUGCCUGGAUCUGAUUUCAGCCUUGGAGCUGUCAUUUCCUGCCAUCACAUGAGCUAAGAAGCAGUGCAUGAACUUUGUUUGAAUGACUGAACCAUCGCAGGUACCACUUGAGGAAGAAGUGCAAAGGUCCCUUGAAGAGUGGAGCAGAAGUGAGAGAGAUGUGCAGACACUGCCUCAGUGAUUCUUCUUUGCUGUCCUUGCUGGAGGGAAGUGAUGAAGAUGCUUCCCAACUGCAGUGCAUUGUUCCUAUUUUCUGCCUCUUUUUUAUCCACAUUGCUUCCUGCAAACAAGGAUAUAGCUGGAAGAGCCAUAUUGUCAGAGGGGACAUCCUUAACAGCUUCAGAAAAAAAAAAAUUGCAGUAGGUGUUACUUUGGUAUAAUAUAGAGGCUUUGGUGUAGUGCAGAUGGGGAAAGCACAUCUUAUGCAGACAGGCAUGGCUGAAGCCAACCUCAGUGUUGGCUAAGGACAAAAUAUCAAUGUACACGUACAGUACAGAUCAAAUAACUCUUGGAGAAAUUUGGGACACUCUCAGCUUCAAGCAGUGUUCUUAGCUACAGUCCCAGAAUACUAUAAUUAAUUUUGAAGGUUUGACUUACUCUUCUCUCUCCAAAAUCCAUGACAGUGGUUGACACUAUGACCAAACAAAUUUUCUGAAACAGAAUCUUUACCUAGUACAGAGACACUUCAAAGAAAACACACUUGAAACCAAUUAAAGAAAUAUAUGCAUAUCUAGGUUUCCCUAAGGCUUCUCUUUCCUUAGAUCUGAAGGGCCUAACAAAU
Catharus ustulatus (Swainson's thrush) is the source of this 949-nucleotide long non-coding RNA. RefSeq lists it as uncharacterized. The record is from RefSeq and is a predicted model, not a curated record. The transcript has 3 exons. Lineage: Eukaryota; Metazoa; Chordata; Aves; Passeriformes; Turdidae.